This 252-nucleotide ribosomal RNA is filed under the name uncultured bacterium. Its description in RNAcentral is "partial 16S ribosomal RNA". It matches the Rfam family "Bacterial small subunit ribosomal RNA", at positions 524 to 776 of the family's 1533-position model. The record is from RNAcentral.
UACGGGGGGGCAAGCGUUGUUCGGAAUUACUGGGCGUAAAGGGCUUGUAGGCGGCCAACUAAGUCAGACGUGAAAUCCCUCGGCUUAACCGGGGAACUGCGUCUGAUACUGGAUGGCUUGAGUUCGGGAGAGGGAUGCGGAAUUCCAGGUGUAGCGGUGAAAUGCGUAGAUAUCGUAAGGAAGACCAGUGGCGAAGGCGGGUCUCUGGACAGUUCCUGACGCUGAGGCACGAAGGUCAGGGGAGCAAACGGG